This 270-nucleotide ribosomal RNA is filed under the name uncultured archaeon. RNAcentral's name for it is "partial 16S ribosomal RNA". It matches the Rfam family "Archaeal small subunit ribosomal RNA", at positions 477 to 747 of the family's 1478-position model. The record is from RNAcentral.
CAGCGCCACGAGUGGUGAUCGCUUUUAUUGGGCCUAAAGCAUCCGUAGCCGGCGCUGUAAGUUUUCGGUUAAAUCUGUACGCUCAACGUACAGGCUGCCGGGAAUACUGCAGCGCUAGGGAGUGGGAGAGGUAGACGGUACUCGGUAGGAAGGGGUAAAAUCCUUUGAUCUAUUGAUGACCACCUGUGGCGAAGGCGGUCUACCAGAACACGUCCGACGGUGAGGGAUGAAAGCUGGGGGAGCAAACCGGAUUAGAUACCCGAGUAGUCC